This 33-nucleotide non-coding RNA is filed under the name unclassified sequences. Its description in RNAcentral is "DUF805b RNA". It matches the Rfam family "DUF805b RNA". Rfam says of the family: Bacteroidetes, Chlorobi (1 example), Proteobacteria. Lineage (Flavobacteria) The record is from RNAcentral.
UCCGGAGAUGCCGAAAACCGAAUAGAGUAGGCA